UGAUUACUCCGGGCGUCCUCUCUCCUCACCUUCUCAAAACCCAAUGGAGGAGAAGGUCAGAGGGGCUUCGCGUCCAAUGGGUUUCAAGAAGAAGACGAGGAGAGACGACACGAGGAGUACGCAAUUGAGAUCUUCCCAAAGAGACGGCGGUAGAGGAAGGGAGGGAGGGUGAGCAAGGGAAGGAAGGAGAGAGUGAGAAAAAUGUGUUGGGGGGAGGAGAGAAUGGAGGAGAAGGAGCAAGAGCAGAACGGAGAGCUGGAGUAAGAGACAUGGACAGACAGUGAGGCAGAAAGAAAGAGAUGGGAAAAGAAAAAAGGAGGGAAAAAAAGGGAGAGGGAAAGAGAAAGAAAGAGGCAGCAGGAGACAGGGAGAGAGCAAUGGAGAGAAAGGUGAGGGCCGGAGAGGAGAAGAGAGGCUUUAGGGAAUGGAUGGAUUCUGGGUCUCCAUGCCCGUGGGGGAGAUUAACCCUUUGUGGAGAAACUAGCCUCUGAACCACUCUGCUCUUCUCGAACCCCCCCCCCCAAUCUUCCUCAACGAGGACUUCUCUAAAGCUGUGCGCCAGAGGCGGAAAGAUCUUAUCCCAGCUAUGGAAGCUGACAGAGAGCGUGUGGACAUUGAUUACAUCCGCUACGACAAGCUCAUUGUCCACCCUCCCUCCCAAAAAACCUGGGAAGAGAGAGAGAGCCAAGCUUCCGGGAAGCUGCUUUUCGGCAAAAGCUAAUGGGGAUCCGAAUAAACCAAACGCUCCUCUCCUCUCCCCACCCUGACCAAGGGGCUGAAGAAGCAGCCUACUCACAGACCACCUGAAGAGGGCGCUGUGGCUUGUGUUUUCCAAAUGAAAUGGAAACUGUCAGUGUGGGUCUUACAGUUUACAAUUGUGUAAUGACUUUCUCUCUUAAUUAAAAAGGUAAUUUUCAUUACAUGUUUAUUUGAGAAAAUCCUGUCCCGGGCAAGUUUUUGAGAGUGUGAGAAUAUGUUAACUGAGCAUUUUUGACAAGAGUGGCACAAUCCCCACAACAACACACUACGCGCCAGUGGGCCACUGUUUAACAGCAGUCGGAGCUGUGUAUCGGCAGUGUUUAAAGUAUUUAAGUAAAAAAAACUUUAAUGUACUACUUAAAUCGUGUUUUGUGGCAUCUUUACUUUACUAUUUAUAUUUUUGACAACUUUUACUCCACUACAUUAGUAAAGAAAAUGUAAUUUUUCACUGACACCCAAAAGUACUCGUUCCAUUUUGAAUGCUGAACAGGAAAAUUCUCCAAUUCCCCCACUUAUCAAGAGAACAUCCCUGCUCAUCCCUACUGCCUCUGAUUUGGAGGACUCAGUAAACACAAAUGCUUCAUUUGUAAAUUAUGUCUGAGUGUUGCAGUGUGCCCCUGACUAUCUGUAAAUUAAAAAACAAGAAAACCA
Molecule: long non-coding RNA, 1410 nt
Organism: Salvelinus fontinalis (brook trout)
Lineage: Eukaryota; Metazoa; Chordata; Actinopteri; Salmoniformes; Salmonidae
Exons: 2
Source: RefSeq, a predicted model, not a curated record